Molecule: ribosomal RNA, 148 nt
Filed under: Ulva taeniata
Lineage: Eukaryota; Viridiplantae; Chlorophyta; Ulvophyceae; Ulvales; Ulvaceae
Description: 5.8S ribosomal RNA
Rfam family: 5.8S ribosomal RNA
About the family: 5.8S ribosomal RNA (5.8S rRNA) is a component of the large subunit of the eukaryotic ribosome. It is transcribed by RNA polymerase I as part of the 45S precursor that also contains 18S and 28S rRNA.
Source: RNAcentral
ACUCUCAACAACGGAUAUUUGGCUCUCGCAACGAUGAAAACCAGCGAAAUGCGAUACGUAGUGUGAAUUGCAGAAUUCCGUGAGUCAUAAUCUUUGAACGCACAUUGCCGGUCGACUUUACGGAGGAACCACAUUGCCUAGGGUGGAA